AUGACUCCGACCCCGCGUGCGCCGACUUCGCGUCGCCAUCCAGCACCCGGCCUCCCGCGGCUGUGCGCGCGCCGACUCCCCCACCCGUCCAGCUUCGCGCGCGCCGGCCUCCCGCCCUCCGCGCGACCCGGCCCGGCCGGCUCCGCGCAUCCCGGGUUCGGCUCCCCCCGCGCCGACUCGCCGCCUCGCCCGCCCGCCGGCUCCCGCGGGCCGGCUUCGCCUUGCUUCGGCCGCCUUGCCCCGCUGGCCGGCGUCCGCCUCGUCGCUCCUCCAUGCGGCCGAGUGCCCCAAGCCCGCACCGGCUCCCCUCGCUCAUCGCCUGCCGACUCGCCGCCCCACGGGCCGGCCUCCGCGCGGUCGCGCCGCUUCGCCCGCAUCGCCUCGCGUCGCCCCGCCGACUCUGGCCGCGCGCCGGCUCCUUCAGCCCUCGCCGCGCCGGCUUCACCGGUGACCCGGCCUGACGGCUCCCCCCAACUCGGACGACUGGCUCCGCCGCCUGCCGUCUCCGUCGCCACCCGGCCGGCUCCGCCACGUGCCGGCCCCGCCCGGCGACCCGGCCGCUUGCCGGCCCCGCCCGCAUCCCGGCUAGCCGGCUCCUCCCGCAGGUCGGCUGGCCACGCCCGUGCGGACUGCGCUGUGCAAGCUCCUCUGCCGGCUGGAGCAAAAGAGAAAGAAGAAAAGUCAAGCCGGCAAAAAAAAAGAAGAGAGAGAAGGAAAGAAGAGGUCGGCUGGGACAAAGAAAAGGAAAAACUCCGUCUAUCCGUCCGCCUGCUUCGUCACUCGGACGCGACCUGGCCUGCCGGUCCGCCUCGACGCCUGGCUGGUCGAACCUCGGCCCGAGUCUCGGGGGCUACACCCGGCGGGUGCGAUGACGCGCCCCCGCGAGGAGAGAAGACAGAGUAG
This 903-nucleotide ribosomal RNA is filed under the name Triticum aestivum (bread wheat). RNAcentral's name for it is "partial small subunit ribosomal RNA". The record is from RNAcentral. Lineage: Eukaryota; Viridiplantae; Streptophyta; Magnoliopsida; Poales; Poaceae.